This 440-nucleotide ribosomal RNA is filed under the name uncultured bacterium. Its description in RNAcentral is "partial 16S ribosomal RNA". It matches the Rfam family "Bacterial small subunit ribosomal RNA", at positions 338 to 795 of the family's 1533-position model. The record is from RNAcentral.
CCUACGGGAGGCAGCAGUGGGGAAUAUUGCACAAUGGGGGAAACCCUGAUGCAGCGACGCCGCGUGAGUGAAGAAGUAUCUCGGUAUGUAAAGCUCUAUUAGCAGGGAAGAAAAUGACGGUACCUGAUUAAGAAGCCCCGGCUAACUACGUGCCAGCAGCCGCGGUAAUACGGAGGGGGCAAGCGUUAUCCGGAUUUAAUGGGUGUAAAGGGGGCGUAGACGGCAGCACAAGUCUGGAGUGAAAUGCCGGGGCUUAACCCCGGAACUGCUUUGGAAACUGGGCAGCUAGAGUGCAGGAGAGGUAAGUGGAAUUCCUGGUGUAGCGGUGAAAUGCGUAGAUAUUAGGAGGAACACCGGUGGCGAAGGCGGCUUACUGGACUGUAACUGACGUUGAGGCUCGAAAGCGUGGGGAGCAAACAGGAUUAGAUACCCUAGUAGUC